GUGAACCAGUACCGUGAGGGAAAGGCGAAAAGAACCCCGGCGAGGGGAGUGAAAAAGAACCUGAAACCGUGUACGUACAAGCAGUGGGAGCACAGAGCAAUCUGUGUGACUGCGUACCUUUUGUAUAAUGGGUCAGCGACUUAUAUUCUGUAGCAAGGUUAACCGAAUAGGGGAGCCGAAGGGAAACCGAGUCUUAACUGGGCGUUAAGUUGCAGGGUAUAGACCCGAAACCCGGUGAUCUAGCCAUGGGCAGGUUGAAGGUUGGGUAACACUAACUGGAGGACCGAACCGACUAAUGUUGAAAAAUUAGCGGAUGACUUGUGGCUGGGGGUGAAAGGCCAAUCAAACCGGGAGAUAGCUGGUUCUCCCCGAAAGCUAUUUAGGUAGCGCCUCGUGAAUUCAUCUCCGGGGGUAGAGCACUGUUUCGGCAAGGGGGUCAUCCCGACUUACCAACCCGAUGCAAACUGCGAAUACCGGAGAAUGUUAUCACGGGAGACACACGGCGGGUGCUAACGUCCGUCGUGAAGAGGGAAACAACCCAGACCGCCAGCUAAGGUCCCAAAGUCAUGGUUAAGUGGGAAACGAUGUGGGAAGGCCCAGACAGCCAGGAUGUUGGCUUAGAAGCAGCCAUCAUUUAAAGAAAGCGUAAUAGCUCACUGGUCGAGUCGGCCUGCGCGGAAGAUGUAACGGGGCUAAACCAUGCACCGAAGCUGCGGCAGCGACGCUUAUGCGUUGUUGGGUAGGGGAGCGUUCUGUAAGCCUGUGAAGGUGUGCUGUGAGGCAUGCUGGAGGUAUCAGAAGUGCGAAUGCUGACAUAAGUAACGAUAAAGCGGGUGAAAAGCCCGCUCGCCGGAAGACCAAGGGUUCCUGUCCAACGUUAAUCGGGGCAGGGUGAGUCGACCCCUAAGGCGAGGCCGAAAGGCGUAGUCGAUGGGAAACAGGUUAAUAUUCCUGUACUUGGUGUUACUGCGAAGGGGGGACGGAGAAGGCUAUGUUGGCCGGGCGACGGUUGUCCCGGUUUAAGCGUGUAGGCUGGUUUUCCAGGCAAAUCCGGAAAAUCAAGGCUGAGGCGUGAUGACGAGGCACUACGGUGCUGAAGCAACAAAUGCCCUGCUUCCAGGAAAAGCCUCUAAGCAUCAGGUAACAUCAAAUCGUACCCCAAACCGACACAGGUGGUCAGGUAGAGAAUACCAAGGCGCUUGAGAGAACUCGGGUGAAGGAACUAGGCAAAAUGGUGCCGUAACUUCGGGAGAA
RNAcentral lists this ribosomal RNA (1254 nucleotides) under Escherichia coli. RNAcentral describes it as "partial 23S ribosomal RNA". It matches the Rfam family "Bacterial large subunit ribosomal RNA", at positions 490 to 1744 of the family's 2925-position model. The record is from RNAcentral. Lineage: Bacteria; Pseudomonadati; Pseudomonadota; Gammaproteobacteria; Enterobacterales; Enterobacteriaceae.